This 91-nucleotide ribosomal RNA is filed under the name uncultured bacterium. RNAcentral describes it as "partial 16S ribosomal RNA". The record is from RNAcentral.
CACACCGCCCGUCACACCAUGGGAGUUGUUUCUGCCUUAAGCCGGUGAGCCAAUCUGGCAGCCGCCCACGGCAGGGAUGAUGACUGGGGUG